RNAcentral lists this long non-coding RNA (495 nucleotides) under Dermacentor andersoni. RNAcentral describes it as "uncharacterized LOC126534659". Lineage: Eukaryota; Metazoa; Arthropoda; Arachnida; Ixodida; Ixodidae. The record is from RNAcentral.
CAGUACAGCUAACUGAGCGCAUUACGCCGAAAAGCUGCAACUUGUGAGAGCGCGUAACGGCCGCAUCUUGCGGCAUUUCCGCACGUUAUGUUAAACGACUGCAAUCGUCGAAGGGGUCCAGGGAAGGAAUGACCAGACGAAGUGCACCACCGGCAGCGACAUGCGUCGUCUCUAUGGCUUUCUCGGUGGUUGCAGUAUGUCCAAUUUGGCCUCCUGUGAGCGACCUGACCGUGAUGGAAUUGCUGAAAAUUGCACAGAUGCAAGGCCUGCAGCAGAUAGCCUUACCCGGCGUCACUGGCAGAGUGGGCGGUUACGACUACGCUAAUGCCACGGCCAGGCACUUUAACGUGACACAGCUCGGUCGUGGCAAGAAGUUCUUGCGCUACUGUCGCUUCGGACGGAAGGACACGAUCGAAGUCCAGUACCGGAUUUCCGCAAUUCUGUCGACCCUGUGGUGGAAAGCACCCGCGGACCGGGCUUUCGGUGACAACGAAG